Molecule: ribosomal RNA, 212 nt
Filed under: uncultured bacterium
Lineage: Bacteria
Description: partial 16S ribosomal RNA
Rfam family: Bacterial small subunit ribosomal RNA
Source: RNAcentral
AGUAUCGCGUAGGGAUGUAUCGUUGGGUGGGGGAUAGCCUUGGGAAACUGGGGGUAAUACCGCAUGACGCCUGUGGGCCAAAGGCAGUGAUGCCGCCUGACGAGCAGCCUGCGUCCGAUUAGCUAGUUGGUUGGGUAAUGGCUGACCAAGGCUGUGAUCGGUAGCUGGUCUGAGAGGAUGAUCAGCCACACUGGGACUGAGACACGGCCCAG